AACCUUAAUCUCUAAAUCACCCAUCGUACUCAGCAGCAACAACAACUUAUCUUUGCUCUCUUCUCUGCCCAAAUCCCUUCUCCCUUCUCCCUCACUCUCAUCAGUCUCACUCACCAAAAUGGCACAAAAUCCCUAACCCACUACGGCGCUACUUCCUUCUCUCUCUCAGCCAGCAGCCCCUGUCUCUCUCAACCAACAGCAGUCACCGCCUCCGCCGUUGUCGAACUCUUCUCGUCAGCCAGAGGGUGCCUCGCCGCCAGUAGUGACAGAUAGAGGGUGCUUCGAGCUCUUGGCCGUCCAUCCUCAUCUCCUCCACGUCGUCGCCUUUGGCCGUCCAUCCCCAUCUUCUCUACAUCGUUUUCAUCUUCGUCGUGUGGUCUUGCAGAUCGAAGCACGGUCGGCUGGAUUUCUCCAUUGUUGAUUUGAAGUGAUAUGUUGAGAAGGAACCGAACGAGUCUUCACUCUCUCUCCCUCUCCACCGCUGCGGUUUCCUAGGAGCUCUCAUCCAAACAGCAAAGAAGCACCAACCUCCUCCGUUCAAGGCAUACUCAUGGCGCCAUCGCAAGUUCCUCUACUGUCCACGCAACGUCGUCCAAAACGUCGUUGUCGGCCAUCUUGCGGCUCUUCUUAUCCUCCUCCUAUUUGGUUUUGAAUGAUUUUUUUAACUAGUUUUUUAUGUUUCUUUUUUCUACAUUUCGGAUGAUUCUUUUUACAACAAUGCUAGGGAACCAACUCUAUAUAAGCCAAGAAUCAGCCAACUGGUAAACCAGAGGCACCGGUGACUUUAACCGGAUGUUGCUACUGAUAGGCACACGGAUGUUUCUUUUUCUUGUAAAUUGGAUGGUUUUGGAUAUGAUUUCUAUA
Arachis ipaensis is the source of this 864-nucleotide non-coding RNA. Lineage: Eukaryota; Viridiplantae; Streptophyta; Magnoliopsida; Fabales; Fabaceae. The record is from RefSeq and is a predicted model, not a curated record.